Transfer RNA from Peptoclostridium acidaminophilum DSM 3953, 72 nucleotides. It matches the Rfam family "tRNA". Rfam says of the family: Transfer RNA (tRNA) molecules are approximately 80 nucleotides in length. Their secondary structure includes four short double-helical elements and three loops (D, anti-codon, and T loops). Further hydrogen bonds mediate the characteristic L-shaped molecular structure. tRNAs have two regions of fundamental functional importance: the anti-codon, which is responsible for specific mRNA codon recognition, and the 3' end, to which the tRNAs corresponding amino acid is attached (by aminoacyl-tRNA synthetases). tRNAs cope with the degeneracy of the genetic code in two manners: having more than one tRNA (with a specific anti-codon) for a particular amino acid; and 'wobble' base-pairing, i.e. permitting non-standard base-pairing at the 3rd anti-codon position. The record is from Rfam. Lineage: Bacteria; Bacillati; Bacillota; Clostridia; Peptostreptococcales; Peptoclostridiaceae.
GCGGAAGUGGCUCAGUGGUAGAGCAUCGCCUUGCCAAGGCGAGGGUCGCGGGUUCAAAUCCCGUCUUCCGCU